GAUGAAGAACGCAGCGAAAUGCGAUAAGUAAUGUGAAUUGCAGAAUUCAGUGAAUCAUCGAAUCUUUGAACGCACAUUGCGCCCAUUAGUAUUCUAGUGGGCAUGCCUGUUCGAGCGUCAUUAUAACCCCUCAAGCUCAGCUUGGUGUUGGGGCCUGCUGCACUGGCAGCCCUUAAAAUCAGUGGCGGCGCCAUCUGGCUCUAAGCGUAGUAAUUCUUCUCGCUAUGGAGUCCUGGUGGAUGCUUGCCAUCAACCCCCAAUUUUUCUAUGGUUGACCUCGGAUCAGGUAGGGAUACCCGCUGAACUUAAGCAUAUCAAUAAGCGGAGGA
RNAcentral lists this unclassified non-coding RNA (329 nucleotides) under soil metagenome. RNAcentral describes it as "partial contains 5.8S ribosomal RNA, internal transcribed spacer 2, and large subunit ribosomal RNA". The stretch from base 1 to 120 matches the Rfam family "5.8S ribosomal RNA", at positions 35 to 154 of the family's 154-position model. The record is from RNAcentral.